GAUGAACGCUAGCUACGGGCUUAACACAUGCAAGUCGAGGGGAAACGACAUUGAAGCUUGCUUCGAUGGUCGUCGACCGGCGCACGGGUGAGUAACGCGUAUCCAACCUGCCUCUGACCAAGGGAUAACCCGUCGAAAGUCGGCCUAAUACCUUAUGCAGUCGUCGGAAGUCAUCUGAUGACGACGAAAGAUUUCAUCGGUGAGAGAUGGGGAUGCGUCUGAUUAGCUUGUUGGCGGGGUAACGGCCCACCAAGGCAACGAUCAGUAGGGGUUCUGAGAGGAAGGUCCCCCCCAUUGGAACUGAGACACGGUCCAAACUCCUACGGGAGGCAGCAGUGAGGAAUAUUGGUCAAUGGGCGAGAGCCUGAACCAGCCAAGUAGCGUGCAGGAUGACGGCCCUAUGGGUUGUAAACUGCUUUUAUGCGGGGAUAAAGUGAGGGACGUGUCCUUCAUUGCAGGUACCGCAUGAAUAAGGACCGGCUAAUUCCGU
This 490-nucleotide ribosomal RNA is filed under the name uncultured bacterium. RNAcentral's name for it is "partial 16S ribosomal RNA". It matches the Rfam family "Bacterial small subunit ribosomal RNA", at positions 28 to 506 of the family's 1533-position model. The record is from RNAcentral.